Molecule: ribosomal RNA, 550 nt
Filed under: uncultured bacterium
Lineage: Bacteria
Description: bacterial SSU rRNA
Rfam family: Bacterial small subunit ribosomal RNA
Source: RNAcentral
UAGGGAAUCUUCCGCAAUGGGCGAAAGCCUGACGGAGCAACGCCGCGUGAGUGAUGAAGGUCUUCGGAUCGUAAAACUCUGUUAUCAGGGAAGAACAAAUGUGUAAGUAACUGUGCACAUCUUGACGGUACCUGAUCAGAAAGCCACGGCUAACUACGUGCCAGCAGCCGCGGUAAUACGUAGGUGGCAAGCGUUAUCCGGAAUUAUUGGGCGUAAAGCGCGCGUAGGCGGUUUUUUAAGUCUGAUGUGAAAGCCCACGGCUCAACCGUGGAGGGUCAUUGGAAACUGGAAAACUUGAGUGCAGAAGAGGAAAGUGGAAUUCCAUGUGUAGCGGUGAAAUGCGCAGAGAUAUGGAGGAACACCAGUGGCGAAGGCGACUUUCUGGUCUGUAACUGACGCUAAUGUGCGAAAGCGUGGGGAUCAAACAGGAUUAGAUACCCUGGUAGUCCACGCCGUAAACGAUGAGUGCUAAGUGUUAGGGGGUUUCCGCCCCCUAGUGCUGCAGCUAACGCAUUAAGCACUCCGCCUGGGGAGUACGACCGCAAGGUUG